GAUGAACGCUGGCGGCGUGCUUAACACAUGCAAGUCGAACGGAAAGGCUCCUGCUUGCAGGGGUACUCGAGUGGCGAACGGGUGAGUAACACGUGGGUGAUCUGCCCUGCACUUCGGGAUAAGCCUGGGAAACUGGGUCUAAUACCGGAUAGGACGAUGGUUUGGAUGCCAUUGUGGAAAGUUUUUUCGGUGUGGGAUGAGCUCGCGGCCUAUCCGCUUGUUGGUGGGGUAAUGGCCUACCAAGGCGUCGACGGGUAGCCGGCCUGAGAGGGUGUACGGCCACAUUGGGACUGAGAUACGGCCCAGACUCCUACGGGAGGCAGCAGUGGGGAAUAUUGCACAAUGGGCGCAAGCCUGAUGCAGCGACGCCGCGUGGGGGAUGACGGCCUUCGGGUUGUAAACUGCUUUCGCUAGGGACGAAGCGCAAGUGACGGUACCUGGAGAAGAAGCACCGGCUAACUACGUG
This 466-nucleotide ribosomal RNA is filed under the name uncultured bacterium. RNAcentral describes it as "partial 16S ribosomal RNA". It matches the Rfam family "Bacterial small subunit ribosomal RNA", at positions 28 to 507 of the family's 1533-position model. The record is from RNAcentral.